Long non-coding RNA from Oreochromis aureus, 355 nucleotides. RefSeq lists it as uncharacterized. NCBI's taxonomy places the organism in Eukaryota, Metazoa, Chordata, Actinopteri, Cichliformes, Cichlidae. The record is from RefSeq and is a predicted model, not a curated record. The transcript has 3 exons.
CAAAACAGCCACUAUUAACAUUACAUACUGUCAUUUGUCCUAAUUAAUUAAAUGAAACCAUCAGGAGAGGGACUCUAGUGCCCUGAUGAGGAGGCAAAUAUGAAGAUCAAAGCAGGAAGGCAACUCUUUGAAGAAUAGAGUUCUUUUAAAGCAUCCGGAUCAGAGUCGUCCUUGUGGAUAAAGCAUCGAACACUUUAUCGUGUACAGAUGUAUGAAGCACCGUUGCCUCUGCAGAAUUUGAUGAUAGAGCUUGCCAGUUUGGUGCAGGAUGCUGAUCCUCUGUUGAGGACCUGAGAAUAAACGGUUUAGAUGAUGGAUCGACUCCACAAGGCAGACUCUCAUCCACUGACAGGGA